CGGGGCGGGGGCGGGCGGGUCCCGGCCCCGCUGCUCGGUGCGCGGCGGCGGCACCGGGAGCGGCGGCGGGGGCUGGGGCGCGUCGGCCCCGCAGCUGCGGCUCGUUGCGCUCCGCUCGGCCCCGCUCCCCCCGGCCCGGCCCCAUAACAGCGGCGCCGUCGUCCCGGGACGCCGCAUGUGAACCAGGAGGGCAACGCCGCCCCGCACCGCCCCCGCGCACCGGCACCGCACCGGCACCCCCGGCCCGGCCCCGCGGAGCUCCGGAGCAGCCGGCACCACCUCCCCACCCCCCCAUCCACCCCACCAUGAGCAACCUCAACAAGGACACCGAGCACACCAACGGCGGCGGCAACGUCGAGGAGGAGGUACGGACGCUGUUUGUCAGUGGCCUUCCUGUGGAUAUCAAGCCCAGAGAGCUCUACCUACUCUUCCGACCAUUCAAGGGUUAUGAAGGGUCACUGAUCAAGCUCACUUCAAAGCAGCCAGUUGGUUUUGUGACCUUUGACAGCCGGGCUGGUGCUGAAGCAGCGAAGAACGCCUUGAAUGGCAUCCGCUUCGACCCAGAGAACCCACAGACCUUGCGGUUAGAGUUUGCUAAAGCCAACACAAAGAUGGCCAAGAGCAAGCUGAUGGCCACGCCAAACCCCACCAAUAUCCACCCUGCCUUGGGCGCACACUUCAUUGCACGGGACCCCUAUGACCUGACUGGAGCAGCUCUUAUUCCAGCGUCCCCAGAGGCGUGGGCUCCCUACCCACUCUACACCACGGAGCUAACCCCUGCCAUCCCCCAUGCUGCCUUCACCUACCCGGCAGCCGCUGCUGCAGCUGCUGCUCUUCACGCUCAGUGAACUCCAGCCAUGAUGCCAGCGCAGGCUAGCCCUGAAGCUCAGAGCUGUCCCUGGAGAUGGGACACCCUAGUGAUGCCUUAUUGCAGCUAGUGGAGUGGCUGUACUACAGCUCCAUUCCUAGAAGUGUUAAGCAUGAUGGCAGCCACGUCUGGAAAGACUGAUGCGCUGGUAUCCUCCCUCCGAAGCUACCCAGCAAGGAUGGAAGUCUCGUCAGUUUUGUUAGUUUGUUAGUAACGUCUCUCCUCGGCUUGUGUUCCUCCUCCCUGCCUCUACGCGGAGGGAUGUGCCAGGGACGAUUGCUCAGACCCCUCUUGGUUCGGUUUGCGGCCAGUGGACAAGGCGCCUGGCCCCGCCGCGCUCCCCCCUCCCCGGGACUGCCAGCAUCCCCCCUCCCUGGACUGUGAAGCCGCCGCGACCCCCCGCUGCGGGCCGUGCGCCGCCUCCAUCCACCCAUCCAUCUCUCCCUCCAUCCCAGGACAUCCUCCCCGACUGAGCUUCGCCAUCCCUCUGUGCCGAAGCCCAGCCGGGGGGCAGAGGGGCUCGGUCCUGGGCUUCCCUGGGCUUGCCCUGCCCCGGCAGCUCGGCUGAAGGAAACGAAAGGCAAUGGGUUUUGCAUGUUUUCUGGCAUGAAUUAAAACACUUAACUUGUGUAUGUGUGAGUGUAAGUUUGUUUGUUCUAGCGUUUGUGUAACCGUUAGCAACAGGUCUUGGCCCAACGGAUUGAUCCAUCAAGGUUUUCAUCUUGCUUUGGUGAAGACUUGGCUUUGAGAAAUACUAACUGUCCUUGUCUCACCCCUUCUCCCACCUCCGCCCUCCCCUUCCCAGGAUGACCAGAAAAAUUUGAAAAAUGUUUCUUUUUUUUUUUUUUGCCUCUUCUUUUUUUUUUCUUUUUUUUUUUCUUCCCCCUCCAAGUACGAUGCACUGGGUUUCUGUUCUCAUCCAUUCUUCUUCUCUGGUUUUAAAGUCAGGGUUAUUAUAUUAUUUUUUUUUUCCUCAGACUUCUAUAUAUAGAAUGGCUGUAAAAUAUCUAACCUCUUUUUUUUUUUUUUUUUUUUUUUUUU
Chroicocephalus ridibundus (black-headed gull) is the source of this 1909-nucleotide RNA transcript. It is a transcript of the gene named RNA binding protein, mRNA processing factor 2, with no coding region annotated. The record is from RefSeq and is a predicted model, not a curated record. The transcript has 9 exons. NCBI's taxonomy places the organism in Eukaryota, Metazoa, Chordata, Aves, Charadriiformes, Laridae.